UAGAUAAUUUUUUAAACUGCAGGAAUCAUAGCAGGUGGCAUCUACUCUCAUCUUGUGCAUGUGUACUUUAUUUAUAAUUGCACUUCAGCUUUGGGUUUCAGCUUGUUUAAAACUCACCAUUUAAGCCCACAAAAACCUCUCUAAAACCAGUUUUAGCCAAAUUAGCACGUGUAAAACUGGUGAAAACUAAGAAGCUCUGGUAUAAACUUACAUUUAAAUUGUCAUGUACUCACUGUGUACCCCUUAUUUUAACCAUCUAUAAAUGUUUGGUAAUUGCAGACUUGUUUGUUUACAGACUGUUUAUAAUGGGAAAACAUAAGGUUGGCAGCUAGAGAGAAUAUGUGUCACAGGAAGGAGGUAAACUGGCACAUUAUUAGUAUUUUGGAAACUGAUUUACAACACUUGCUUUACAAUGUUUUAUUCAGCCAUUUUAUAGAACUAAUGUAAUCAUGUCAUAAUUACUCUCAUUUCACGAUGAUUUAUAAGAAAUCACCAACUGUACAAUCAAUACAAUAAAAACAAACUGCCUACGCUGGCAAGAAGACAGUGUUUUUGAAGCAACACAAAGGCUUAAGGAGCCAAAAUGAGUUACACUGUGGACAAAAAGGGUAUGUAAGCAGUAGUGAUGUCAGUCUGACACCAAAGCUCCGAUCCUUGCUUCAAACUCGAAGUUGCGUUCUCUUUGAUCCACUGCUUUAAAGCUUGCUUUGCCGCAGAGCAAAUGACGUAAGCGAGAACGUAUGAAGCAUACAUUAGCUUCAUUUCCGUGA
Molecule: long non-coding RNA, 770 nt
Organism: Thalassophryne amazonica
Lineage: Eukaryota; Metazoa; Chordata; Actinopteri; Batrachoidiformes; Batrachoididae
Exons: 3
Source: RefSeq, a predicted model, not a curated record